This 295-nucleotide long non-coding RNA is filed under the name Buteo japonicus. RNAcentral describes it as "lncRNA (ENSBJAG00000000585.1)". Lineage: Eukaryota; Metazoa; Chordata; Aves; Accipitriformes; Accipitridae. The record is from RNAcentral.
GUGACCACGUGAGCGCCAUGCCUACCGAGGCUCCGCCAUGUUGCCUAAGGGGGCGUUCCCUCGCCGCUACUCUCCCCCCGCGCUCCGGGCGUGCAGCUGGAGGGGCCGAGGCAGUUUUUGGGCCAUCCUGGACGAGCCCCCACUGAAGAAGAUAAGGACUUUAGCCCUUUCAGGAUAAGAUGUAUCAAACAUGCAGAAGAUCACACUGUGCAGAAUCAUCCGAGAAGGGUCAAGUAGCGGACAAGUGAGGAAGACUCCUGAAGACCACCAGAGGACUCCUGAAGACCACCAGAGA